RNAcentral lists this small RNA (262 nucleotides) under Arabidopsis thaliana (thale cress). RNAcentral describes it as "ATSL012930". Lineage: Eukaryota; Viridiplantae; Streptophyta; Magnoliopsida; Brassicales; Brassicaceae. The record is from RNAcentral.
AUUAUUAAACAAUCACACAGUCGAUAUUAAAUUACAUUACAAAUCUAUCUAUAUAUACAUUUUUGCAGCCAUUUUAGCAAAUAAAUCUUAGAGUUGAACUUAUUUACAAUCCAAUGCCAUUAGCAUUAAAUCUUUUUUUCAAAAUAAUUAAUUUUACUUUAAAUUCUUAAUUUAAAUUGUCAAUUACAUUAUCAAUAAAAUUUAAUCCAGACAAACUUCACAUCAAUCCCUUAAAAUUAGCAUAAACGUAUUUUGUUAACAA